Myotis myotis is the source of this 2449-nucleotide long non-coding RNA. RefSeq lists it as uncharacterized. The transcript has 3 exons. NCBI's taxonomy places the organism in Eukaryota, Metazoa, Chordata, Mammalia, Chiroptera, Vespertilionidae. The record is from RefSeq and is a predicted model, not a curated record.
UCUGCGCGCGGGGCAGUUCGUCCCCAUUCCCUAGUAGGCGCUUCAGGGAACUGAGCGAGGGGCUUAAUGCCUGCCCCGGAGAAAGGAGUGGGUUAAAUGUCCUCGCACCCAUAACUAGCAGGCUCUUCUCCGAGGCUUGGCCCACUGCGGGCGUGAGACGGAGGAAGAGGCGAGGCCCAGGCGGAAAGGUCGAUGCUCAACCAGUGAGCCACACUGGCUGGGCUGAAUGACAUCUUGAUUGCAGCCUUCUGAGAGACCCAGAGCCAGAAUGACCAUCAACUAAGCUGAUCCUAUAUUCUACAGGCACUAUAAGGAGAGCUUGCUAAUUCAAGUUGAAGCAUUAACCGUCCUCCUGAAAACACUCAAGCCAAUGAGGUAACAAAGGCCCAGAAGACAAAAAUUAAGCAAAGCAAGUUCUUGAAAACUCUUAUAACCCCAAUUUAAGAAAAAUAAAGAAGCAGGAAAGAAAUUAGAAAAAGGCACAUGACAGCAUAUGAGGUAUUUAUGAAAGUAUUUUUGUUUAUAUAUUUAGCUUUUUUUAAUAUUUAGCUUUUUUAAUUACAUGCAUUAUGUAGCUUGUACUGUGGUUUUGAAAUUGUAAAAUAAGUAUUUGUUGGGUCUGUUCUCUCAGUGCUUGGAAAUAUAAAAAAGAAACAGCUCCCCCUGCUUGUCGCUUACAUGUGCAGGAUCACAAACUUACAUGCCGCUUGGCCAGUCCCAGGGAGGGCUGUCCAAAGUGAGGGACAUGUGGCCAUGAAAGGUUCAGCUGCCUUUGGACUCCACUGUUUGUUGCCAAGUGAAGUGCAGGGCAUUCCACAUAUUCAGAACACUGUGUUGGUUUGGGCUCUCCCAAAAGCAGGCACUGAGACAAAAAUUUGGGUGCAAAUGUCUAUUUGGGAGGGAUUGCAAGGAACUCGAUGAGGAAGUGGGGCUGUUGCCAUUUGGCAGCCAAUGAAAGGAAGGAGAGAGGUUGCCUUAUCUUUUCAAAAUACGUAUUUUGAGGUUUUAGUUAUUAACAGUAAACAUAUUUAAGCUUCUUAGUAAUUGUUUACAGACAGCAGAAAUGUUUUUCCAAUUGUGCUCUGAACCCAGAUUUAAAGUAGGCUCUUUUUCUUCCUUUUAGGCAUAGACUGUGGAAAUGAGCACAUUAUAUGUGGGAUGCAUGACAAGAAUCAGUUCAGGGGGAAGCAGAGUGGGUUGGGGUGGAGUAGGGCAUAGGAGGGAUAAAUGGUGUUGGGGGGAAAAUAAGGAGAAAAACAAAAUCAGUUCAGGAAAAUUUGGAGUGGGGAAAGUAAGUGGAAGGAAACCAAACCAUUCAAAUGAGGUGCACAAAGCACAUCAGAACAGAUUCGGGGGAGGUAGAUAAAACCUAAUCUCGAGCUAAUUGUAAACAAGCAAUGUAAUGUUGAAUUCUUUUGAAAUAUAAAUUUUAAAAUAGCUUGAUCGUCUAGUUCUUUUGUAAGGUCCAUGCUAACUCCUGUAUCCUGCACUAAACUGUGUUAAAAUCGUGAAAAGCUUCCCAGGGCUACAGAGUUAGUUAAACUUGUGACUGUGAUGAAUCUGCAGGCUAUUGCCUUUCUGUGGCUUCCUUCUCAACUCCAUGUUUACAGACCUGUCCCAAAGGUAGAUGUCUUACUGACCUCUGCCUUUGAGUUAUAAUUCUUAUAAGUAAAUGAGAAAAUAUGAAGUUGGAUAUAAAAUGCUGACACGUGUGGAGCAAUGACCCCAAAUCACUUUACACAGAGAGCAUAUGGAAUGCUCUUCCCUGUCACUGUUUAUCACUCUUGGAAACGUCCUUUCUUUGGCCUCCAGGACACCACUGUCACUCUAGGACAUCACUGGCUGCUCCUUCUCAGUGACCUCUGCAGGCCCCUCUACCUAUCCCUGACUCUUAACAUUAAAGUGGCCCAGGACUUAGUCUUCUGACCUCUUCUUUCUCUCUGCACAUCCUCCAUAUGAUCUUAUCCAGGCCCAUCAGUUUAUAUACUUAUGUACAUAGCAAAGACUCCCAACUUGAGCAUCUCUAACCCAGACCUCUGUUCUGAAGUCCAGGUUCAUAUAUUCAACUGCUAAUUAAAAAUCUCUCCUUGGAUUUCUCCAAUAAAUGUUUCAAACUUUGAAUGUCUAAACCAGAGCUUUGAUUCCCACCCACCCCAUUUUAGUUUGGAUUCCCCCAAGAGCAGACUGUGAGACAAGGACCCAGAGUAGUAGUUAAUUCAGGGAUUGAGGGACAUGGGUGAAUUGCUUGCAAAGAUGGCCUUAACUUUCUUCCCUUCUUAUAUGUCUGCCCCUCGUGCAAAGUAACUUUGAUAUCACUCCCCAUCAAGAAGUGAGAUUUUUCUCUUCACCCUUUGAAUCUGAUCUGGCGCCCUAACUGGUUUGGCUCAGUGGAUAGAGCAUCGGCCUGCGGACUCAAGGGUCCCAGGUUCGAUUCCAGUCAAGGGCAUGU